GCAUAUCAAUUAAGCGGAGGAAAAGAAAAAUAACAAUGAUUUCCCUAGUAACGGCGAGUGAAGAGGAAAGAGCUCAAAGUUGGAACCUGUUUGGCUUAGCUAAACCGGAUUGUAAACUGUAGAAGUGUUUUCCAGACACGCCUGGUAAAAAAGUCCUUUGGAACAGGGCAUCAUAGAGGGUGAGAAUCCCGUCAUUGGCCAGAGCUGUUGUCUUUUGUGAUACAUUUUCAAAGAGUCAGGUUGUUUGGGAAUGCAGCCUAAAUUGGGUGGUAAAUCUCACCUAAAGCUAAAUAUUUGCGAGAGACCGAUAGCGAACAAGUACCGUGAGGGAAAGAUGAAAAGAACUUUGAAAAGAGAGUUAAACAGUAUGUGAAAUUGUUAAAAGGGAACCGUUUGGAGCCAGACUGGCUUAACUGUAAUCAAUCUAGGCUUUGGCCUGGAUGCACUUGCGGUUUAUGCCGGCCAACGACAGUUUUGUUUGAGGGAAAAAAUUACAUUGAAUGUGGCCCUUCGGGGUGUUAUAGCUUUGUAAAAAAUACCUUGGACUGGACUGAGGAACGCAGUGAAUGCCUUUAGGCAAGAUUGCUGGGUGCUUUCGCUAAUAAAUGCUAGAAUUUCUGCUUCGGGUGGUGCUAGUGUUUAAAGGAGGAACUCGCCUAGUAUAUUUUUUAUUCGCUUAGGUUGUUGGCUUAAUGACUCUAAAUGACCCGUCUUGAAACACGGACCAAGGAGUCCACCAUAAGUGCGAGUAUUUGGGUGACAAACCCAUAUGCGCAAGGAAACUGAUUGAUACGAAGGCUUUAAGCUGGCAGUAUCACCCGGCGUUGACGUUUUAUACUGAACUGACCGAGGUAAAGCACUUAUGAUGGGACCCGAAAGAUGGUGAACUAUGCCUGAAUAGGGUGAAGCCGGAGGAAACUCCGGUGGAGGCUCGUAGCGAUUCUGACGUGCAAAUCGAUCGUCAAAUUUGGGUAUAGGGGGCGAAAGACUAAUCGAACCAUCUAGUAGCUGGGUUCUGCGAG
RNAcentral lists this ribosomal RNA (1022 nucleotides) under Mucor hiemalis f. corticola. RNAcentral describes it as "LSU rRNA". It matches the Rfam family "Eukaryotic large subunit ribosomal RNA", at positions 38 to 964 of the family's 3401-position model. Lineage: Eukaryota; Fungi; Mucoromycota; Mucoromycetes; Mucorales; Mucoraceae. The record is from RNAcentral.